CCUACGGGUGGCAGCAGUGGGGGAUAUUGCACAAUGGGGGGAACCCUGAUGCAGCGACGCCGCGUGAGUGAAGACGUAUUUCGGUAUGUAAAGCUCUAUCAGCAGGGAAGAAGAAAGACGGUACCUGAGUAAGAAGCCCCGGCUAACUACGUGCCAGCAGCCGGGGUAAUACGUAGGGGGCAAGCGUUAUCCGGAUUUACUGGGUGUAAAGGGAGGGUAGACGGUAUGGCAAGUCAGAAGUGAAAGUCCCGGGCUUAACCCGUGAAUUGCUUUGGAAAAUGUUAAACUUGAGGGCUGGAGAGGCAGGCGGAAUUCCUAGUGUAGCGGUGAAAUGCGUAGAUAUUAGGAGGAACACCAGUGGCGAAGGCGGCUUGCUGGACAGUAACUGACGUUGAGGCUCGAAAGCGUGGGGAGCAAACAGGAUUAGAUACCCGAGUAGUC
Molecule: ribosomal RNA, 441 nt
Filed under: uncultured bacterium
Lineage: Bacteria
Description: partial 16S ribosomal RNA
Rfam family: Bacterial small subunit ribosomal RNA
Source: RNAcentral